RNAcentral lists this transfer RNA (68 nucleotides) under Euthrix laeta. RNAcentral's name for it is "tRNA-Trp". Lineage: Eukaryota; Metazoa; Arthropoda; Insecta; Lepidoptera; Lasiocampidae. The record is from RNAcentral.
AAGGUUUUAAGUUAAUUCAAACUAAUAGUCUUCAAAAUUAUUUAUAAAGAUACCUUCUUUAAGCCUUA